GACUAGAUUGAACGCUGGCGGGAUGCUUUACACAUGCAAGUCGAACGGCAGCACGGACUUCUGGUCUGGUGGCGAGUGGCGAACGGGUGAGUAAUGUAUCGGAACGUGCCUAGUAGCGGGGAUAACUACGCGAAAGCGUAGCUAAUACCGCAUACUAACCCUUCGGGGAAAGCGGGGACCUUCGGGCCUCGCACUAUUAGAGCGCCGAUAUCGGAUUAGCUAGUUGGUGGGGUAACGGCUCACCAAGGCGACGAUCCGUAGCUGGUUUGAGAGGACGACCAGCCACACUGGGACUGAGACACGGCCCAGACUCCUACGGGAGGCAGCAGUGGGGAAUUUUGGACACGGGGGAAACCCUGAUCCAGCCAUCCCGCGUGUGCGAUGAAGGCCUUCGGGUUGUAAAGCACUUUUGGCAGGAAAGAAACGGCACGGGAUAAUACCCCGUGCAACUGACGGUACCUGCAGAAUAAGCACCGCCAACUGAUGUGCCAGCAGCCGCGGUAAUACGUAGGGUGCAAGCGUUAAUCGGAAUUACUGGGCGUAAAGCGUGCGCAGGCGGUUCGGAAAGAAAGAUGUGAAAUCCCAGAGCUUAACUUUGGAACUGCAUUUUUAACUACCGAAGAGCUAGAGUGUGUCAGAGGGAGGUGGAAUUCCGCGUGUAGCAGUGAAAUGCGUGAUAUGCGGAGGAACACCGAUGGCGAAGGCAGCCUCCUGGGAUAACACUGACGCCUGCGCACGAAAGCGUGGGGAGCAACAGGAUUAGAUACCCUGGUAGUCCGCGCCCCAAACGAUGUCAACUAGCUGUUAGCCUUCGGGCCUUGGUAGCGCAGCUAACGCGGUGAAGUUGACCGCCUGGGGAGUACGGUCACAAGAUUAAAACUCAAAGGAAUUGACGGGGACCCGCACAAGCGGUGGAUGAUGUGGAUUAAUUCGAUGCAACGCGAAAAACCUUACCUACCCUUGACAUGUCUGGAAUCCCGAAGAGAUUUGGGAGUGCUCGCAAGAGAACCGGAACACAGGUGCUGCAUGGCUGUCGUCAGCUCGCGUCGUGAGAUGUUGGGUUAAGUCCCGCAACGAGCGCAACCCUUGUCAUUAGUUGCUACGAAAGGGCACUCUAAUGAGACUGCCGGUGACAAACCGGAGGAAGGGGAUGACGUCAAGUCCUCAUGGCCCUCUUAUGUAGGGCUUCACACGUCAUACAAUGGUCGUGGACGAGGCCGCCAACCCGCGAGGUGGGGAGCCAACCUGUGAAACCCGAUCGUAGUCCGGAUCGCAGUCUGCAACCUCGACUAAAGAAGUCGGAAUCGCUAGUAAUCGCGAUCAGCAUGUCGCAGAAUACGUUCCCUGGUCUCUGUACACACCGCCUGUCACACCAUGGGAGUGGGUUUUACCAGAAGUAUGGGGCCUAACCGUAAGGAGGGCGAUUACCACGGUAGGAUUCAUGACUGGGGUGAAGUCGUAACAAGGUAA
RNAcentral lists this ribosomal RNA (1470 nucleotides) under uncultured Bordetella sp. RNAcentral describes it as "partial 16S-23S ribosomal RNA intergenic spacer". It matches the Rfam family "Bacterial small subunit ribosomal RNA". Lineage: Bacteria; Pseudomonadati; Pseudomonadota; Betaproteobacteria; Burkholderiales; Alcaligenaceae. The record is from RNAcentral.